Molecule: non-coding RNA, 25 nt
Filed under: Cricetulus griseus (Chinese hamster)
Lineage: Eukaryota; Metazoa; Chordata; Mammalia; Rodentia; Cricetidae
Also listed under: 1 other name
Source: RNAcentral
UGGCUCAGAGGUUAAGAGCACUGAC